Gallionellales bacterium GWA2_55_18 is the source of this 73-nucleotide non-coding RNA. Lineage: Bacteria; Pseudomonadati; Pseudomonadota; Betaproteobacteria; Nitrosomonadales. The record is from Rfam.
GUCCCCAUCGUCUAGAGGCCUAGGACAUCGCCCUUUCACGGCGGUAACACGAGUUCGAAUCUCGUUGGGGACG